This 464-nucleotide ribosomal RNA is filed under the name Vreelandella stevensii. Its description in RNAcentral is "partial 16S ribosomal RNA". It matches the Rfam family "Bacterial small subunit ribosomal RNA", at positions 338 to 794 of the family's 1533-position model. Lineage: Bacteria; Pseudomonadati; Pseudomonadota; Gammaproteobacteria; Oceanospirillales; Halomonadaceae. The record is from RNAcentral.
CCUACGGGAGGCUGCAGUGGGGAAUAUUGGACAAUGGGCGAAAGCCUGAUCCAGCCAUGCCGCGUGUGUGAAGAAGGCCUUCGGGUUGUAAAGCACUUUCAGUGGGGAAGAAAGCCUUGGGGCUAAUACCCUCGAGGAAGGACAUCACCCACAGAAGAAGCACCGGCUAACUCCGUGCCAGCAGCCGCGGUAAUACGGAGGGUGCGAGCGUUAAUCGGAAUUACUGGGCGUAAAGCGCGCGUAGGCGGUCUGAUAAGCCGGUUGUGAAAGCCCCGGGCUCAACCUGGGAACGGCAUCCGGAACUGUCAGGCUAGAGUGCAGGAGAGGAAGGUAGAAUUCCCGGUGUAGCGGUGAAAUGCGUAGAGAUCGGGAGGAAUACCAGUGGCGAAGGCGGCCUUCUGGACUGACACUGACGCUGAGGUGCGAAAGCGUGGGUAGCAAACAGGAUUAGAUACCCCUGUAUC